UCCCUGGAAGACUAGUGGUUAGGCUACUGUGCUCUCACCUGUGCUGCCCGAGUUCGAUUCCUGGCCAGGGAA
Molecule: non-coding RNA, 72 nt
Organism: Pangasianodon gigas (Mekong giant catfish)
Lineage: Eukaryota; Metazoa; Chordata; Actinopteri; Siluriformes; Pangasiidae
Source: the annotation of a GenBank genome assembly